RNAcentral lists this ribosomal RNA (301 nucleotides) under uncultured bacterium. Its description in RNAcentral is "partial 16S ribosomal RNA". It matches the Rfam family "Bacterial small subunit ribosomal RNA", at positions 509 to 807 of the family's 1533-position model. The record is from RNAcentral.
CAGUAGCCGCGGGAACACGAAGGGUGCAAGCGUUAAUCGGAAUUACUGGGCGUAAAGGGUGCGUAGGCGGUUCGUUAAGUCUGUCGUGAAAUCCCCGGGCUCAACCUGGGAAUGGCGAUGGAUACUGGCGAGCUAGAGUGUGUCAGAGGAUGGUGGAAUUCCCGGUGUAGCGGUGAAAUGCGUAGAGAUCGGGAGGAACAUCAGUGGCGAAGGCGGCCAUCUGGGACAACACUGACGCUGAAGCACGAAAGCGUGGGGAGCAAACAGGAUUAGAUACCCGGGUAGUCCCUGUCUCUUAUAC